This 732-nucleotide ribosomal RNA is filed under the name uncultured bacterium. RNAcentral's name for it is "bacterial SSU rRNA". It matches the Rfam family "Bacterial small subunit ribosomal RNA", at positions 99 to 827 of the family's 1533-position model. The record is from RNAcentral.
CGGACGGGUGAGUAAUAUAUCGGAACGUGCCCAGUAGCGGGGGAUAACUACUCGAAAGAGUGGCUAAUACCGCAUACGCCCUACGGGGGAAAGGGGGGGAUCGCAAGACCUCUCACUAUUGGAGCGGCCGAUAUCGGAUUAGCUAGUUGGUGGGGUAAAGGCUCACCAAGGCAACGAUCCGUAGCUGGUUUGAGAGGACGACCAGCCACACUGGGACUGAGACACGGCCCAGACUCCUACGGGAGGCAGCAGUGGGGAAUUUUGGACAAUGGGGGAAACCCUGAUCCAGCCAUCCCGCGUGUAUGAUGAAGGCCUUCGGGUUGUAAAGUACUUUUGGCAGAGAAGAAAAGGUAUCUCCUAAUACGAGAUACUGCUGACGGUAUCUGCAGAAUAAGCACCGGCUAACUACGUGCCAGCAGCCGCGGUAAUACGUAGGGUGCGAGCGUUAAUCGGAAUUACUGGGCGUAAGGCGUGCGCAGGCGGUUUUGUAAGACAGAUGUGAAAUCCCCGGGCUUAACCUGGGAACUGCGUUUGUGACUGCCAGGCUAGAGUACGGCAGAGGGGGGUGGGAUUCCUGGUGUAGCAGUGAAAUGCGUAGAUAUCUGGAGGAACACCGAUGGCGAAGGCAGCCCCCUGGGAUAAUACUCACGCUCAUGCACGAAAGCGUGGGGAGCAAACAGGAUUAGAUGCCCUGGUAGUCCACGCCCUAAACGAUGUCAACUAGUCGUUCGG